AGCAGUUUCUUAUAAAGGAGUUUCAUCAAAGCUGACAAAGUGAUCGAGGAUGAAUAACUUCGACGAACUUGAGGAAUCCGUGAUAUCUUCUUAAGGG
Molecule: long non-coding RNA, 97 nt
Organism: Sinocyclocheilus grahami
Lineage: Eukaryota; Metazoa; Chordata; Actinopteri; Cypriniformes; Cyprinidae
Exons: 3
Source: RefSeq, a predicted model, not a curated record